UACGUAGGGGGCAAGCGUUGUCCGGAAUCAUUGGGCGUAAAGAGCGUGUAGGCGGCCCGGUAAGUCCGCUGUGAAAGUCCAGGGCUCAACCCUGGGAUGCCGGUGGAUACUGUCGGGCUCGAGUCCGGAAGAGGAGUGUGGAAUUCCUGGUGUAGCGGUGAAAUGCGCAGAUAUCAGGAGGAACACCAAUGGCGAAGGCAGCUCGCUGGGACGGUACUGACGCUGAGGCGCGAAAGCGUGGGGAGCGAACAGG
RNAcentral lists this ribosomal RNA (253 nucleotides) under uncultured bacterium. RNAcentral's name for it is "partial 16S ribosomal RNA". It matches the Rfam family "Bacterial small subunit ribosomal RNA", at positions 524 to 776 of the family's 1533-position model. The record is from RNAcentral.